GAUGAACGCUGGCGGCGUGCCUAAUACAUGCAAGUCGAGCGAACAGACGAGGAGCUUGCUCCUUUGACGUUAGCCGCGGACGGGUGAGUAACACGUAGGUAACCUACCUAUAAGACUGGGAUCACUUCGGGAAACCGGAGCUAAUCCCGGAUAAUAUUUCGAACCGCAUGGUUCGAUAGUGAAAGAUGGCUUUGCUAUCACUUAUAGCUGGACCUGCGCCGUAUUAGCUAGUUGUUAAGGUAACGGCUUACCAAGGCAACGAUACGUAGCCGACGUGAGAGGGUGAUCGGCCACACUGGAACGGAGACAGGGUCCAUACUCCUACGAGAGGCAGCAGUAGGGAAUCUGCCGCAAUGGGCGAAAGCAUGACGGAGCAACGCCGCGUGAGUGAUGAAGGUCUUCGGAGCGGAAAACUCUGUUACUAGGGAAGAACAAACGUGGAAUUAACUGUGGAGGGCGUGACGGUACCUAAUCAGAAAGCAACGGCUAACUACGUG
This 497-nucleotide ribosomal RNA is filed under the name uncultured bacterium. Its description in RNAcentral is "partial 16S ribosomal RNA". It matches the Rfam family "Bacterial small subunit ribosomal RNA", at positions 28 to 507 of the family's 1533-position model. The record is from RNAcentral.